Molecule: RNA transcript, 2171 nt
Organism: Labeo rohita (rohu)
Lineage: Eukaryota; Metazoa; Chordata; Actinopteri; Cypriniformes; Cyprinidae
Gene name: urokinase plasminogen activator surface receptor-like
Exons: 6
Source: RefSeq, a predicted model, not a curated record
GAUGAGCUAUAAAUUGAGCGCUGCAACAGGCACGUUAUCUCAUUCACCACCUGAUCAAAAAUGGAUCUGCAAAUCUCAGUUUUUCUUCUGUUCGUUCUUUUCACUGCAGGACACUCUCUCAGCUGUUAUAAUUGUGUGUCGGGCAUUUGUACAACGACUCAGUGUACGAAUGGAUCUACCAACUGCCUCAGUACAACAGUUACAACCAACAGUACUACAUGGACACUUAAAGAUUGUGCUUCAUCUGCUUGCUCAAAUGGAUCCAUCAACUUUGGCACUGGAAAAGGCUCUUCUUCGUGCUGUGACACAGAUCUCUGUAACUCCCAAGAUGCUCCAGAUUCCAGCACUAACGCUCUCAAUGGAAAGUCAUGUUACUAUUGCGACGGACAGAGCUGCUCAAAAACAGUGAACUGUUCAGGGACUGAAGACCGCUGCUUUAAUGCAACAGUGACUACUGGAGUCCAGCUACAGGUUUUGAAAGGCUGUGUCUCUAAAUCUUAUUGUAAUGCCACGACGACAUUGAUUCCUAAUAUAGGAAGUCUCUCAUGCUGUGAGGGGAACCUGUGUAACAGUGCUAAGAGUGUCACUCAGAGCUUCCUGUUCCUCUGCUGUUCUCUGCUCUCCUUCAUCCUGCUGCACUGAAUCCAGAAGCUUUUCAGAUUUUACAGCUGCAGCAAAGACACAAUAUUAUGUGCUCUACAACAUAGAUUGUAUUACCUCUGUACUGUCUUUGACUUGGUGUGAAGAAUCUAAAAAGAUGGUGAAGGUGAAAAGGGUGAAGGGGAUAAAUCUUUAACUCAAGACUACAUGAUGGGCUACUGGUGCACAAUGUUUUCACCAUGCAUCACCUUUAUUAUAGUGCAAAUUCAGUCAUUUAUGUAAUUAAAUUGUAUCAAUACAGUAUUUGCAUGAUGAUAAUAGUUGAUCUUGCAGCUUUAUUUUUAUUCUUCCACUUUCUUUCACACAAAUUAUAUUGCUCUAUUAAAGAGAAGAAAAAAAAAUUACAUCAGUUUCCCUAAGAGGAUUUUUUGCACCACAUUUAACAUAGUAAAAUACAAUAACAGUGUCCAAUAACAUGUGAAUGCCUGAACACCACACCUACAGAUGCCUGCUGAAUGUUUUUUGCAUGAGCAGUGCCUUAGAAAUAGCGUAAUGAAACUGUAUAAUUGAGUGUGCGUGCAUGUUGCUUGUUACAUCAACCGAGUCGAUACAAAAAUAUUAAAAGGGUGUAUCCACAUACUUUUAGAAACGAACUUCUCAAAAUCACCUAAAUGUUGUUUUGCUAAAACCCUUUUGACUGUCUAAAGGGUUUUAUGCUUUAAUUUUGGAUGUUUUUUUUUUAUUUUACUUUUUACAUAUCAGUUAAAUCAAAGUAAUAAGUUAAUGAAGGUGCCUACAGUACAGACAGUACGGUCUAGAAUUAACGUGAACGUUUUUGGAAGAUUUUCCAAAACAAUGUCGGUGCCAGUAGACUAUAAGUGAAUGUCUAUUUGUUCUUUGGUCUAGUGACACAUUUGUUCACAGGUGCCUGUAAGAACAAAAUGUUUGCAUGACAAAAAUAAGUUUCUGUAUUAAAAUGCUUCCACAGUAUCAAACACCCAGCAAUUCUUAGAUUACACUGUUGUUAAAGGAGAACUCUGCGUGUUCUGACUCAAGACAGUUAGGGUAUGUCGAAAAACUCCAAUCGUAUUUUCUCCCCCAACUUCAAAAAUCAUUUCAAAAUCACCCUACAUCGCUACAGAAGUACCGACACAGUUUUUGCAAAGUGAACAUGCAAAGAUAUAGGACGAUAUUGAAGUUGAGGAAGAACAUGAGAUGGGAGUUUUUCAACAGUUCUUUACAUUAUCUGUAAAUCUUUGUUCUGAAAGUGGACUUCUCCUUUAAUUUUCAUCCUUUUAAUGUUUAACAGAGUAUUUAAGCCUUUCAAUGAAAACUACUCUUUCUCUGGUUUCUCAAUAACAUUCCAUGAUAACAUUAGAUGUACCUUCAGCAUUGUUUUGUAUAACUGAAAGCUGACAGUCAAAUACAAGAUCUCUGCUGAAAACAAAGCAAGUCUGACCUGUAUGAUUUUUUUCUCAUUGUUAAAUUGACAUUUGACAUUGACAUUUCUAAUUGUUAAAAUGUUAAAAUCUUCAAUCUAAUUACAUGAUGUUUCAAUUAAUUAAUGUAAU